Molecule: transfer RNA, 71 nt
Filed under: Pedinomonas minor
Lineage: Eukaryota; Viridiplantae; Chlorophyta; Pedinophyceae; Pedinomonadales; Pedinomonadaceae
Description: tRNA-Gln
Rfam family: tRNA
About the family: Transfer RNA (tRNA) molecules are approximately 80 nucleotides in length. Their secondary structure includes four short double-helical elements and three loops (D, anti-codon, and T loops).
Source: RNAcentral
UGAGAUCUAGCCAAAAGGUAAGGCAAUAGAUUUUGAUUCUAUGACUAUUGGUUCGAGUCCAAUGAUUUCAG